CCACUUUCUCUCUCCUAGGGUUUCAUUUUUUUCGUCAAAUUUUCAUCGAAUUGUUCUUAAUUUCGGUUUUGGUAGAAAGUUCAUGAUCGUAAAGUAGGAGAUCUAUUUAGUGGUGAUAUGAAGAGGUUUAUUGCAAUUGUAGUUGUGAUUAUGCAGAUUUUUAAAUGAAGCAGUCGUAAUCAUUUGAAGUUGAAAUCAAUGGAGAAAUUAAUAUAAGCAAUUCAAGUUUAAGAGAGAUGCAGGUGAUGAGGAGGGGAGAAGAGGGGCAACUGUUUAUAUCAAAUAUCUGACCAGUAGUAAACUGAUGGGUUUGGAGGACGACGAGCAUUUUAAGAAACCCGAUCAAGGAAGUUGAUGAAUGGAGGGCUAAAAAAAUUACCAAGCAAGGAUGUGUUGGGUUCACUUUUGAAUAAAAUGAGAGUUGUUGGUUAUGGUUUACUUGUAAAUUAUUCCAAUAAGUUCUUAUAUAAGUACUUGUAAAUUAUUUCAACAAUUUUUUUAUAUACUUGUAAAUUUUUUUUUGAAAGAUAUG
Molecule: long non-coding RNA, 532 nt
Organism: Chenopodium quinoa (quinoa)
Lineage: Eukaryota; Viridiplantae; Streptophyta; Magnoliopsida; Caryophyllales; Amaranthaceae
Exons: 3
Source: RefSeq, a predicted model, not a curated record